GAUGAACGCUGGCGGCGUGCCUAAUACAUGCAAGUCGAGCGAACGGACGAGAAGCUUGCUUCUCUGAUGUUAGCGGCGGACGGGUGAGUAACACGUGGAUAACCUACCUAUAAGACUGGGAUAACUUCGGGAAACCGGAGCUAAUACCGGAUAAUAUUUUGAACGGCAUGGUUCAAAAGUGAAAGACGGUCUUGCUGUCACUUAUAGAUGGAUCCGCGCUGCAUUAGCUAGUUGGUAAGGUAACGGCUUACCAAGGCAACGAUGCAUAGCCGACCUGAGAGGGUGAUCGGCCACACUGGAACUGAGACACGGUCCAGACUCCUACGGGAGGCAGCAGUAGGGAAUCUUCCGCAAUGGGCGAAAGCCUGACGGAGCAACGCCGCGUGAGUGAUGAAGGUCUUCGGAUCGUAAAACUCUGUUAUUAGGGAAGAACAUAUGUGUAAGUAACUGUGCACAUCUUGACGUUACCUAAUCAGAAAGCCACGGCUAACUACGUG
Molecule: ribosomal RNA, 497 nt
Filed under: uncultured bacterium
Lineage: Bacteria
Description: partial 16S ribosomal RNA
Rfam family: Bacterial small subunit ribosomal RNA
Source: RNAcentral